Lynx canadensis (Canada lynx) is the source of this 1456-nucleotide long non-coding RNA. RefSeq lists it as uncharacterized. The transcript is spliced from 3 exons. NCBI's taxonomy places the organism in Eukaryota, Metazoa, Chordata, Mammalia, Carnivora, Felidae. The record is from RefSeq and is a predicted model, not a curated record.
UCACUCUCCUGCACUCUCUCUCUCUCUCUCUCAAAAUAAAUAAACUUUAAAAUAAAUAAAAUUGUGUCUGGGAACCAACCUAAGUGGAAAAGAGGCUUCGCUCGGGCUUUCCACAAAUAUUUAGCACCGAGAAUGUAGAGGGCACUUUGGAGAUAGGAAUUAAACGCAAACUAAAUAGCAUCUAUUCUCUAGGAGCUUACGUCCUAGUAGAACAAGCACAAGGCGCAGAGGACCUCAAGAGGCGAAGGAACUUCACCUUCCACGGGUUCACGGGUUCGGUUACCGCAGCCUACCUCGGCCCAGAAGCAGGUGGUCUCCCUCUGGCCCGUCCCCAGAAGGAAAACCAGACAAGGCAGAAGGAAAAUGAAUAAGCCGAACAGGUUAUUGCUGACAGCUUACGGGAACUCUUCUGUCUCCAAGUUUGAAAAAGGGAAGUUGUUCUUGUUCAUCCCCAGGAAGAUGGGCUGUCGGCUGGCUGGCAAAAAGAGCUGUGUGAUAUUUGCAAAUGAAAAGUACACCACUCAAGGAAAGAAAAGAACUGAGGUAAUCCAAAAGAAAGUAUUUGGGGACUUCCAGAAGAUUCUCGAGCCAACAAAAAUAUACCCCAAUGCCAAAGCACUCCCUCGCUAAAGUCAAUAUGUGAAAAUGUGAAUAUUAUUUUGGAUGCCGUUGUGCUAACCCAAGUGUGUUAAGGUAAGAGCUUAUAUUUGUCAAAGUGCAGAUUUGGUUCUUCUCAAGUCAUAAAACAUGGGAGCUAACAUCUUGAUGACUCACCUUAAAAUCCUUUUCUUCUCUUUGGAUAACGACAACGUAUUUUGCCAGACAGCCUGGCAAAAAGAAAAGCUGCUUUUUUACCUGCCAAACGACUGAGAUUAUGAUCGAGAUUGAAAACCAAGAUAUAGAAACGAUGGAAUACCUCACAGCUCUUCUCCCAAAACUUGAUUCCCCAGAUAAUAAUCCCCAUGUUAUUAUUCCCAGAAUAAUAAUCCAAUUAUUUUCUCAUUUAUUCCCAACUCCGUAAGAUUUGAGAAUUAGCCCAUACAUGGGGCCCCAAACUCAAGCACUUCCCGUAUUAACAAUCGGAAACCAUGCAAAAGAGAAAAACCAUUUCAAAUGCAGAUUAAAGCAGGUAUUUGGAAAUUUGGACAUCUGUUUUUAGGAACUCAUCAUGGAGGGAAGUCAAAGGGAAAUCGGAUCACAUUGGAAUACCAUUUCCCCCCCAUUCUUUGAAAUUUGCCUUUUAUGUAAAUAAAAAAAAUAAUAAAAGCCAAAAAAAAUAUAUAUAUAUAUAAACAUCACUCUCUGAAAUGGCUUCCUCACGUCACGCCUCAGGGAUGUGAAGUAAAAAGACAGCACAAUCAGUAUACCAAUCAGAAGGCUAGCAGAUCAUUGGCAACUCUGAGAUCUAUCAUUCUUCCAACUAGGAGCAAGAGUUCUGAUCGCAUGUGAGUUAAUA